ACUCCUACGGGAGGCAGCAGUGGGGAAUAUUGCACAAUGGGCGCAAGCCUGAUGCAGCCAUGCCGCGUGUGUGAAGAAGGCCUUCGGGUUGUAAAGCACUUUCAGUAGGGAGGAAGGUAGUGUAGUUAAACACCUGNACNAUUUUGACGUUUACCUACAGAAGAAGCACCGGCUAACUCCGUGCCAGCAGCCGCGGUAAUACGGAGGGUGCGAGCGUUAAUCGGAAUUACUGGGCGUAAAGCGCAUGCAGGCGGCCUGUUAAGUCAGAUGUGAAAGCCGGCUAGCUACGAUGCAUUUGAAACUGGCAAGCUAGAGU
RNAcentral lists this ribosomal RNA (316 nucleotides) under uncultured bacterium. Its description in RNAcentral is "bacterial SSU rRNA". It matches the Rfam family "Bacterial small subunit ribosomal RNA", at positions 335 to 647 of the family's 1533-position model. The record is from RNAcentral.